RNAcentral lists this transfer RNA (74 nucleotides) under Actinomadura coerulea. Its description in RNAcentral is "tRNA-Arg". It matches the Rfam family "tRNA". From Rfam's summary of the family: Transfer RNA (tRNA) molecules are approximately 80 nucleotides in length. Their secondary structure includes four short double-helical elements and three loops (D, anti-codon, and T loops). Lineage: Bacteria; Bacillati; Actinomycetota; Actinomycetes; Streptosporangiales; Thermomonosporaceae. RNAcentral also lists the same sequence under 2 other names. The record is from RNAcentral.
AUGGUAUAUAACAUAAUGGUUAAUGUAUAUUACUACGGAUAAUAAUAUGUAAGUUCGAAUCUUGCUAUACCAUA